GCAGGCGUAGUUUCAACCAAAACAUUAGACUGUGAUUCUAAAAAUAGAAGUUAAAAUCUUCUCACUUGCC
Molecule: transfer RNA, 70 nt
Filed under: Staphida castaniceps
Lineage: Eukaryota; Metazoa; Chordata; Aves; Passeriformes; Zosteropidae
Description: tRNA-His
Rfam family: tRNA
About the family: Transfer RNA (tRNA) molecules are approximately 80 nucleotides in length. Their secondary structure includes four short double-helical elements and three loops (D, anti-codon, and T loops).
Source: RNAcentral